This 1636-nucleotide long non-coding RNA is filed under the name Nicotiana tabacum (common tobacco). RNAcentral's name for it is "long non-coding RNA (NTAB_LNC006853)". Lineage: Eukaryota; Viridiplantae; Streptophyta; Magnoliopsida; Solanales; Solanaceae. The record is from RNAcentral.
UAAGGCAUGCUUGGGGCAGGGGUGUUACAUCAAGAUGCAGCACAGGAGGUGAUACCUAGCAGUUGGGAUUAAGGCUUAGCCAUGUUGGUACACUUUUAUUAGGUCUGGUAUUUACUGGAAGUUCUUUUAGUUUAUUUGCAGAUUAGAAAAAAAUUAGAGAUCCUCUAGUGUCAAAGAACCCCUAAUAUGAAUUCAAAUACAAAUUAUUAAGUAUCUGAAUGAAACUGGUCCAAAUGGAUCGUAAUGGAUAGUGAGGAUUCAUACAACCGACCAACUACUUUAGGAUGGAGGUGUUGUUGUCGUCAUCAUCGUCAUUUUCUUCUUUUGAUGAUGGACCAACUAGUUAACAUUCUCCCCGGUUAUAAGACAACGUUUUACCUCAAAGCAGUGAAGUAAAAGAAAAAGCGAAGCAUUUUCUUUUGUGUUUAUAUAAAAACAAAUAAAAAGAGAAUUUAAUAAGAGGAAGUACCAUCUUUCUCAAAAAAUAAGAGGAAGUUCUUUAUUUUAUGAGAUACCUGCCCUGCUGCCUACAUAGGUGGUUGCAACUUUUCUUCAAAAUAGUGCAACUUCUAUAGUUCUUACUUCGCUAGAAACAGAAAGCGCUUUAAUCAUUGGGGAAUUUUUUGUUUUUGGUCCCUUGCCUUUUCGAUAUCCAAGUUAAUGCAGAAAGUAACCAUUACCCUACUUAUUUCCCUUGUCCAGCAGCAUGAUGGAAACUAUGUAACAGUGAUAUUGCCAUUUAUAUUCUUUCAUAUAAUUCGAGUGUCAUUUCAUUAAAAUGCAUUAUCUGUCCUACUCCUUCUGCCCUUAGGAUGUAGACCGGACAAAUCGACUUUGUGCUGCCAGAACAGAAGUCAGAAAGUUCUUAAAUGGCUACAAUAGUAUUAUAACAUUUUGGAUGCAUGAAAUGGUAAACAUCUGUUAAGCCUUUCAUUAGGCCUAGCCAUCCGAGUAAUUACCCCAUCUGAGGUUUUAAUUAUCAGUUAAUGUUGGCUGUACCAAAACCAAAUAAAUAAAUUAAAAUGGCGGUUGCUGGCUUUCGUUCUUUUUGUUCUAGAAUCACUGUCACAAUCAUGUAACUCCUGUCCAAAAUUGACGUGAUGUAGUUUUUAUGGCUAAUUUCUUUGGGUUGGGGUGGGGGUGGGGGUGGAUAUUAUAUCGGACAUUGAUUAAUAUAUGUUCUGAAAUAAAAGCAUAGAUAUUGCUACUGCCUGAAAAAUACCAUUGACACUUGAUUUAGAGUAGUCACAUAAAAUAUAAUUAAAGAAGAGUAUGGUCAAAGGAGGAUGGUGUAAAUAGUAACAUGGUCAAUUGAAUUGAUAACGACAAGUAUCUAAUAACCUAAAGGUGCUAUUGCAAAAUGAUUCUUCUGUUAUUUGUUUCAAUUAUUCUCUUCAUUAAUUUCUAAUCACGUUAUUUGUUCUUUUCUUGAUCCAGGUUUGGAAUUAUGGGUCUUGUGACUAACUACAUGGGUGUUGGGCCUCGGUCAGGCAAGAAAACUUGAUUGAAAUUGUAUUAAGGCACUUGCCCUUGUUUUUGAGGAUAUUAGAAAUGUUGAACUCGAGUAUGAUGCUCUAGGGCCUUAGGGAUUUGUACUGUUGUUUUUAUGAUUAUGAGAAUAUUUGAAUAUGCAAGC